RNAcentral lists this ribosomal RNA (497 nucleotides) under uncultured bacterium. RNAcentral describes it as "partial 16S ribosomal RNA". It matches the Rfam family "Bacterial small subunit ribosomal RNA", at positions 28 to 507 of the family's 1533-position model. The record is from RNAcentral.
GACGAACGCUGGCGGCGUGCCUAAUACAUGCAAGUUGAGCGCUGAAGGUUGGUACUUGUACCAACUGGAUGAGCAGCGAACGGGUGAGUAACGCGUGGGGAAUCUGCCUUUGAGCGGGGGACAACAUUUGGAAACGAAUGCUAAUACCGCAUAAAAACUUUAAACACAAGUUUUAAGUUUGAAAGAUGCAAUUGCAUCACUCAAAGAUGAUCCCGCGUUGUAUUAGCUAGUUGGUGAGGUAAAGGCUCACCAAGGCGAUGAUACAUAGCCGACCUGAGAGGGGGAUCGGCCACAUUGGGACUGGAACACGGCCCAAACCCCUACGGGAGGCAGCAGUAGGGAAUCUUCGGCAAUGGACGAAAGUCUGACCGAGCAACGCCGCGUGAGUGAAGAAGGUUUUCGGAUCGUAAAACUCUGUUGGUAGAGAAGAACGUUGGUGAGAGUGGAAAGCUCAUCAAGUGACGGUAACUACCCAGAAAGGGACGGCUAACUACGUG